Molecule: ribosomal RNA, 600 nt
Filed under: uncultured Cytophaga sp.
Lineage: Bacteria; Pseudomonadati; Bacteroidota; Cytophagia; Cytophagales; Cytophagaceae
Description: bacterial SSU rRNA
Rfam family: Bacterial small subunit ribosomal RNA
Source: RNAcentral
CAACUUCUUCUGCAGUCGAGAUUCCUACGGGAGGCAGCAGUAGGGAAUAUUGGUCAAUGGACGAGAGUCUGAACCAGCCAUGCCGCGUGCAGGAAGACGGCCUUCUGGGUUGUAAACUGCUUUUCUCAGGGAAGAAAAUGGUCUUGCGAGACAAAUUGCCGGUACCUGAGGAAUAAGCACCGGCUAACUCCGUGCCAGCAGCCGCGGUAAUACGGAGGGUGCGAGCGUUGUCCGGAUUUAUUGGGUUUAAAGGGUGCGUAGGCGGCCUAUUAAGUCAGUGGUGAAAGGUAUCAGCUUAACUGAUGAUGUGCCAUUGAAACUGACAGGCUUGAGUACAGACGAGGUAGGCGGAAUUUAUGGUGUAGCGGUGAAAUGCAUAGAUACCAUAAAGAACACCGAUAGCGAAGGCAGCUUACUAGGCUGAGACUGACGCUGAGGCACGAAAGCGUGGGGAGCGAACAGGAUUAGAUACCCUGGUAGUCCACGCUGUAAACGAUGAUUACUGGAUGUGUGCGAUAAACAGUACGCGUCUGAGCGAAAGCGUUAAGUAAUCCACCUGGGGAGUACGAUCGCAAGAUUGAAACUCAAAGGAAUUGACGG